UGUUGGGUAGGGGAGCGUUCUGUAAGCCUGCGAAGGUGACCUGUGAGGGUUGCUGGAGGUAUCAGAAGUGCGAAUGCUGACAUAAGUAACGAUAAAGCGGGUGAAAAGCCCGCUCGCCGGAAGACCAAGGGUUCCUGUCCAACGUUAAUCGGGGCAGGGUGAGUCGACCCCUAAGGCGAGGCCGAAAGGCGUAGUCGAUGGGAAACGGGUUAAUAUUCCCGUACUUGGUGUUACUGCGAAGGGGGGACGGAGAAGGCUAUGUUGGCCGGGCGACGGUUGUCCCGGUUUAAGCGUGUAGGUGUGUGUUCCAGGUAAAUCCGGUUCACUUUAACACUGAGGCGUGAUGACGAGGCACUACGGUGCUGAAGCAACAAAUGCCCUGCUUCCAGGAAAAGCCUCUAAGCAUCAGGUAACAUCAAAUCGUACCCCAAACCGACACAGGUGGUCAGGUAGAGAAUACCAAGGCGCUUGAGAGAACUCGGGUGAAGGAACUAGGCAAAAUGGUGCCGUAACUUCGGGAGAAGGCACGCUGACACGUAGGUGAAGUGAUUUACUCACGGAGCUGAAGUCAGUCGAAGAUACCAGCUGGCUGCAACUGUUUAUUAAAAACACAGCACUGUGCAAACACGAAAGUGGACGUAUACGGUGUGACGCCUGCCCGGUGCCGGAAGGUUAAUUGAUGGGGUCAGCGCAAGCGAAGCUCCUGAUCGAAGCCCCGGUAAACGGCGGCCGUAACUAUAACGGUCCUAAGGUAGCGAAAUUCCUUGUCGGGUAAGUUCCGACCUGCACGAAUGGCGUAAUGAUGGCCAGGCUGUCUCCACCCGAGACUCAGUGAAAUUGAACUCGCUGUGAAGAUGCAGUGUACCCGCGGCAAGACGGAAAGACCCCGUGAACCUUUACUAUAGCUUGACACUGAACAUUGAGCCUUGAUGUGUAGGAUAGGUGGGAGGCUUUGAAGUGUGGACGCCAGUCUGCAUGGAGCCGACCUUGAAAUACCACCCUUUAAUGUUUGAUGUUCUAACGUGGACCCGUAAUCCGGGUUGCGGACAGUGUCUGGUGGGUAGUUUGACUGGGGCGGUCUCCUCCUAAAGAGUAACGGAGGAGCACGAAGGUUGGCUAAUCCUGGUCGGACAUCAGGAGGUUAGUGCAAUGGCAUAAGCCAGCUUGACUGCGAGCGUGACGGCGCGAGCAGGUGCGAAAGCAGGUCAUAGUGAUCCGGUGGUUCUGAAUGGAAGGGCCAUCGCUCAACGGAUAAAAGGUACUCCGGGGAUAACAGGCUGAUACCGCCCAAGAGUUCAUAUCGACGGCGGUGUUUGGCACCUCGAUGUCGGCUCAUCACAUCCUGGGGCUGAAGUAGGUCCCAAGGGUAUGGCUGUUCGCCAUUUAAAGUGGUACGCGAGCUGGGUUUAGAACGUCGUGAGACAGUUCGGUCCCUAUCUGCCGUGGGCGCUGGAGAACUGAGGGGGGCUGCUCCUAGUACGAGAGGACCGGAGUGGACGCAUCACUGGUGUUCGGGUUGUCAUGCCAAUGGCACUGCCCGGUAGCUAAAUGCGGAAGAGAUAAGUGCUGAAAGCAUCUAAGCACGAAACUUGCCCCGAGAUGAGUUCUCCCUGAGACUUAGAGUCUCCUGAAGGAACGUUGAAGACGACGACGUUGA
Molecule: ribosomal RNA, 1657 nt
Filed under: Salmonella enterica subsp. enterica serovar Typhimurium
Lineage: Bacteria; Pseudomonadati; Pseudomonadota; Gammaproteobacteria; Enterobacterales; Enterobacteriaceae
Description: partial 23S ribosomal RNA
Rfam family: Bacterial large subunit ribosomal RNA
Source: RNAcentral